This is a long non-coding RNA of Neodiprion virginianus, 560 nucleotides long. RefSeq lists it as uncharacterized. The transcript has 2 exons. The record is from RefSeq and is a predicted model, not a curated record. Lineage: Eukaryota; Metazoa; Arthropoda; Insecta; Hymenoptera; Diprionidae.
CUUGUGCUUCGAGUUACGAUAAGGACGUGAGUGUAAUUAGAAUUUCGCAAAGACACGCGAGCCGUUUGCAAAAUAAUUGUUAAUAUUUAACGCGAUAAGAAGCUACGCGUAUAUUAUUGACCAACGCUUAUUUCUAUAAAAUGGCAAGUCUCCGCGUCAACUUUCGCAGAAGUUAAUAAAUCUUUAACGAAUUCUAAGGCCCCAGCUUUGUGUAACGCAGAAUAGAACAUCAUGUUCCGAUUAAUAUUUGCCUUCGCUAUUAUCACCUUCGCCGCAGCAGCUCCGCAACUUUUAACGAUUGCUCUCCAGGGCAGACCGUUGUUGGAUCUCGAUCUGGCAAACUUAGGCCGUUGAAUGCUGGAAACUUGAUCGAAGCAUCUGCGUCGUCCCGGAUUCGUAACGCGAAUAUGAAAAGAUUUAACGAGAAUUUUGGUGAGGGGGAGAUAAUAAAAUGAUUCGAAGUAUCGCGUAAAUGUUUUUUUUGUUUUCAAAUCAAAGGAUCUUGUAUUAUAACAAUAAGAAAUGUAAAUUCUAUUAAUAAACUGCAGUGUGCUACGGAA